RNAcentral lists this ribosomal RNA (222 nucleotides) under uncultured Glomeromycotina. Its description in RNAcentral is "partial 18S ribosomal RNA". The stretch from base 46 to 222 matches the Rfam family "Eukaryotic small subunit ribosomal RNA", at positions 693 to 868 of the family's 1831-position model. The record is from RNAcentral. Lineage: Eukaryota; Fungi; Glomeromycota.
GGAUCAAUAUGUUGGUCGUGCCUUGGUACGUACUGGCAUUAUUGGUUUCUACCUUCUGAAGAACCUCGAUGUCAUUAAUUUGGUGUCUUGGGGAAUCAGGACUGUUACUUUGGUAAAAAAAUUAGAGUGUUUAAAGCAGGCUCGCGCUUGAAUACAUUAGCAUGGAAUAAUGAAAUAGGACGUUUGAUUCUAUUUUGUUGGUUUCUAGGAUCGACGUAAUGA